Molecule: ribosomal RNA, 810 nt
Filed under: Ethmolaimus pratensis
Lineage: Eukaryota; Metazoa; Nematoda; Chromadorea; Chromadorida; Cyatholaimidae
Description: SSU rRNA
Rfam family: Eukaryotic small subunit ribosomal RNA
Source: RNAcentral
AUGCAGUCUAAGCAUAGCCGAAAUAUGGUGAAGCGCGAAUAGCUCAUUCAACAGCCGUAGUUAUUAGAUCUCAAUCCUACUGGAUACCUGUGGUAUUCUAGAGCUAAUACAUGCAAUAAGCCCUGAUCGUAAGAGAAGGGUGCAUUUAUUAGAACAAAACCAAUCGGGCUUGCCCGUCAUUUGGUGAAUCUGAAUAACUCAGCAGAUCGCACGGUCUAGUACCGGCGACAUGUCUUUCAAGUGUCUGCCUUAUCAACUUUCGAUGGUAGUUUAUGUGCCUACCAUGGUUGUAACGGGUAACGGAGAAUAAGGGUUCGACUCCGGAGAGGGAGCCUGAGAAACGGCUACCACAUCCAAGGAAGGCAGCAGGCGCGCAAAUUACCCACUCUCAGUACGAGGAGGUAGUGACGAAAAAUAACGAGGCGGAUCUCUACGAGGUUCGCCAUCGGAAUGGGUACAAUCUAAACCCUUUAACGAGGAUCUAUUGGAGGGCAAGUCUGGUGCCAGCAGCCGCGGUAAUUCCAGCUCCAAUAGCGUAUACUAAAGUUGUUGCGGUUAAAAAGCUCGUAGUUGGAUCUGCAUCCCUCGCGGUUGGGAGCUCCACUGGAUGUCUCUCAACCCGGGGAUUACCUUCUGGUUUUCCCUUGGUGCUCUUCAUCGGGUGCCUUGGGCGGCCAGUACGUUUACUUUGAAAAAAUUAGAGUGCUCAAAGCAGGCAAUUUUCUGAAUAGUGUUGCAUGGAAUAAUGUAAUAGUACCUUGUUUCUAUUUUGUUGGUUUUCGGAGCUCAUUGUAAUGAUUAUGUGGUACU